Non-coding RNA from Sus scrofa (pig), 553 nucleotides. The record is from RefSeq and is a predicted model, not a curated record. Lineage: Eukaryota; Metazoa; Chordata; Mammalia; Artiodactyla; Suidae.
AUCACCGGCAAGAGUGAGGAGUAUUGGCAGCAGCACGCAGGCGGGCAGGCUGGGAGUUUGCAUGGAAAUCAUGAAGUCUUGUCUUUCUCUUUUCAAAUGUUUUGGAAGGAGAGUUAAGAAUAGCUCAGAAACCAAACCGGUCUCGCUCUUUUUUGUGGGAAGAAUGACCUGCAGCAUAAAAGCUAAAUCUUGCAGCAAGUGCAAGACACUUCUUUCGGGUAUUUGCAGGCAACCUAACAGAAUGAAUGGUUGUCUGUAAAGGACUGUGCCAUGACACCCCAAAUGAAGGGACUGGUAAAGCAAAGUAAUGACUCAAAGGCUGCCACGGAGCUUUUGUCUACUUUUAACUCAUUGUGGCGAAGUUGGACAUUCCAAAGAUGGCGUAGAUGAACAUGACCAGGAAGAGCAGGAGGCCGAUGUUGAACAGCGCAGGCAGGGACAUCAUCAAAGCAAAGAGCAGCGUGCGGAUCCCCUUGGCCCCUUUGAUCAGACGCAGGAUGCGGCCAAUCCUGGCAAGACGGAUCACUCGGAACAGGGUAGGGGACACAAAAUA